RNAcentral lists this transfer RNA (74 nucleotides) under Candidatus Staskawiczbacteria bacterium. Its description in RNAcentral is "tRNA-Gln". It matches the Rfam family "tRNA". Rfam says of the family: Transfer RNA (tRNA) molecules are approximately 80 nucleotides in length. Their secondary structure includes four short double-helical elements and three loops (D, anti-codon, and T loops). Further hydrogen bonds mediate the characteristic L-shaped molecular structure. tRNAs have two regions of fundamental functional importance: the anti-codon, which is responsible for specific mRNA codon recognition, and the 3' end, to which the tRNAs corresponding amino acid is attached (by aminoacyl-tRNA synthetases). tRNAs cope with the degeneracy of the genetic code in two manners: having more than one tRNA (with a specific anti-codon) for a particular amino acid; and 'wobble' base-pairing, i.e. permitting non-standard base-pairing at the 3rd anti-codon position. The record is from RNAcentral. Lineage: Bacteria; Candidatus Staskawicziibacteriota.
UCCGAGGUCGUCUAAUGGUAGGACGUUGCGCUCUGGACGCAAAAAUUGGGGUUCGAGUCCCUGCCUCGGAGCCA